AAGGGAGAGGAAUAAAUGGGAACCUACCUUGGGGUCUGGGAUAGCGGCGGGAAACUGCCGGUAAUACCAGAUGAUGUCUCCGGACCAAAGGUUUACCACCCUGAGACGGGCCCAUUUCCUAUCAGCUAGUUGGUGAGGUAAUGGCUCACCAAGGCUAAGACGGGUACGGGGUGUGAGAGCAUGCCCCCGCUCACUGGGACUGAGACACUGCCCAGACACCUACGGGUGGCUGCAGUCGAGAAUCUUCGGCAAUGGGCGAAAGCCUGACCGAGCGAUGCCGCGUGUGGGAUGAAGGCCUUCGGGUUGUAAACCACUGUCGAGGGGAAUUAAGGGAAACUUGAAUAAACCCUGGAGGAAGGACGGGCUAAGUUCGUGCCAGCAGCCGCGGUAAGACGAACCGUCCAAACGUUAUUCGGAAUCACUGGGCUUACAGAGUUCGUAGGCGGUCUAGCAAGUUGGGUGUGAAAUCCCUCGGCUCAACCGAGGAACUGCGCUCGAUACUGCUAGACUCGAGGGAGAUAGAGGAAAGCGGAACUGAUGGUGGAGCGGUGAAAUGCGUUGA
RNAcentral lists this ribosomal RNA (562 nucleotides) under uncultured bacterium. RNAcentral describes it as "bacterial SSU rRNA". It matches the Rfam family "Bacterial small subunit ribosomal RNA", at positions 102 to 694 of the family's 1533-position model. The record is from RNAcentral.